CCCUUAGAUGUCCGGGGCUGCACGCGCGCUACACUGAAGGAAUCAGCGUGCUAAAACCAUUGUCGAAAGGCAUUGGUAAACCCAUUAAAAUCCUACGUGAUUGGGAUCGGGAAUUGCAAUUAUUUCCCUUGAACGAGGAAUUCCCAGUAAGUGUGGGUCAUAAGCUCGCGUUGAUUACGUCCCUGCCCUUUGUACACACCGCCCGUCGCUGCCCGGGACUGAGACGUUUCGAGAAAAGCGGGGACUGCUGCUGUCGGGGCUUUCGGGCCUUGGCUUCGGUGGAAACCGCUUUAAUCGCAGUGGCUUGAACCGGGCAAAAGUCGUANCA
RNAcentral lists this ribosomal RNA (328 nucleotides) under uncultured eukaryote. Its description in RNAcentral is "partial 18S ribosomal RNA". It matches the Rfam family "Eukaryotic small subunit ribosomal RNA", at positions 1470 to 1796 of the family's 1831-position model. The record is from RNAcentral.